CCUACGGGAGGCUGCAGUGGGGAAUAUUGGACAAUGGGCGAAAGCCUGAUCCAGCCAUGCCGCGUGUGUGAAGAAGGCCUUCGGGUUGUAAAGCACUUUUAGUGGGGAAGAAAGCCUUGGGGCUAAUACCCUCGAGGAAGGACAUCACCCACAGAAGAAGCACCGGCUAACUCCGUGCCAGCAGCCGCGGUAAUACGGAGGGUGCGAGCGUUAAUCGGAAUUACUGGGCGUAAAGCGCGCGUAGGCGGUCUGAUAAGCCGGUUGUGAAAGCCCCGGGCUCAACCUGGGAACGGCAUCCGGAACUGUCAGGCUAGAGUGCAGGAGAGGAAGGUAGAAUUCCCGGUGUAGCGGUGAAAUGCGUAGAGAUCGGGAGGAAUACCAGUGGCGAAGGCGGCCUUCUGGACUGACACUGACGCUGAGGUGCGAAAGCGUGGGUAGCAAACAGGAUUAGAUACCCCUGUAGUC
RNAcentral lists this ribosomal RNA (465 nucleotides) under Vreelandella stevensii. Its description in RNAcentral is "partial 16S ribosomal RNA". It matches the Rfam family "Bacterial small subunit ribosomal RNA", at positions 338 to 795 of the family's 1533-position model. The record is from RNAcentral. Lineage: Bacteria; Pseudomonadati; Pseudomonadota; Gammaproteobacteria; Oceanospirillales; Halomonadaceae.